This is a long non-coding RNA of Herpailurus yagouaroundi (jaguarundi), 408 nucleotides long. RefSeq lists it as uncharacterized. The transcript is spliced from 3 exons. The record is from RefSeq and is a predicted model, not a curated record. NCBI's taxonomy places the organism in Eukaryota, Metazoa, Chordata, Mammalia, Carnivora, Felidae.
ACCGCGUGGAACAGCGGUUUGGGCCGUAGCGCCUCCCUUCUGCCCCUGCCAUCAUGCUCUUCUUGGCUGGUGUUUCUCUGAUAACCGAAGUGGGAUGGUUUCCCUCCUCUGGGAAAAUAUGACAAGAGGAGGAAAGAACACAACUUAAGAUCCGAGAGAAGACUUCAUAUCUGCAUGGCAAGAACUCAGAGUGAAGAAGAGUCCUUCUUGAUGUUCUAACUCUCACAUUCACCUGGCUGAUCUUCUCUGCCCCAAGGAGGGCACCCAAAAGAAGCCCUGUUGUGGGCCGUGUUAUAAAUAAAUAGAAAUGCCUGGAAACCUGUGUAUCAGGCUAGACUCCUGCAGAGAGAGACAGCGUGUGAGCAGGGGAGGACCACAGAGAGAGGGAGACACAGAAUCUGAAGCAGG